Long non-coding RNA from Musa acuminata AAA Group (dessert banana), 341 nucleotides. RefSeq lists it as uncharacterized. NCBI's taxonomy places the organism in Eukaryota, Viridiplantae, Streptophyta, Magnoliopsida, Zingiberales, Musaceae. The transcript is spliced from 2 exons. The record is from RefSeq and is a predicted model, not a curated record.
AUGUUCGAGUGAGAAGAUGUUGAAAUGGAGAUGAGGAAGAAGCUGAGCUACGUGGUGAUUGAUUGGAGUCCUGAUGAAGCCUGGGGAGACACAGUUCGUUCGAUUCCCUUCCUUCGCCCAUUCACAUGCAAGGCUUCGGGCUGAUACAUUGCGUAUGCCGACGAUGGCGGCCACGGAGGAGAUGAAGACGAUGCUGCCUCUUCCUGAUGCCUCGAGGAGAGGGUGAGCAAGCUGGCUCAAAUGGAAAGCCGAGUCCAAGUUGGUGCUCAUGACAUGUCGGUAGUCCUCAAGGGUGUGAUCUGUGGCUGCCUUCCAAAUUGCUAUUCCCGCAUUGUUGACCU